Molecule: ribosomal RNA, 668 nt
Filed under: Bacillus sp. 744(2011)
Lineage: Bacteria; Bacillati; Bacillota; Bacilli; Caryophanales; Bacillaceae
Description: bacterial SSU rRNA
Rfam family: Bacterial small subunit ribosomal RNA
Source: RNAcentral
GCUAUACAUGCAGUCGAGCGGACAGAUGGGAGCUUGCUCCCUGAUGUUAGCGGCGGACGGGUGAGUAACACGUGGGUAACCUGCCUGUAAGACUGGGAUAACUCCGGGAAACCGGGGCUAAUACCGGAUGCUUGUUUGAACCGCAUGGUUCAGACAUAAAAGGUGGCUUCGGCUACCACUUACAGAUGGACCCGCGGCGCAUUAGCUAGUUGGUGAGGUAACGGCUCACCAAGGCGACGAUGCGUAGCCGACCUGAGAGGGUGAUCGGCCACACUGGGACUGAGACACGGCCCAGACUCCUACGGGAGGCAGCAGUAGGGAAUCUUCCGCAAUGGACGAAAGUCUGACGGAGCAACGCCGCGUGAGUGAUGAAGGUUUUCGGAUCGUAAAGCUCUGUUGUUAGGGAAGAACAAGUGCCGUUCAAAUAGGGCGGCACCUUGACGGUACCUAACCAGAAAGCCACGGCUAACUACGUGCCAGCAGCCGCGGUAAUACGUAGGUGGCAAGCGUUGUCCGGAAUUAUUGGGCGUAAAGGGCUCGCAGGCGGUUUCUUAAGUCUGAUGUGAAAGCCCCCGGCUCAACCGGGGAGGGUCAUUGGAAACUGGGGAACUUGAGUGCAGAAGAGGAGAGUGGAAUUCCACGUGUAGCGGUGAAAUGCGUAGAGAUGU